RNAcentral lists this ribosomal RNA (490 nucleotides) under uncultured bacterium. Its description in RNAcentral is "partial 16S ribosomal RNA". It matches the Rfam family "Bacterial small subunit ribosomal RNA", at positions 30 to 507 of the family's 1533-position model. The record is from RNAcentral.
AUUGAACGCUGGCGGCAGGCCUAACACAUGCAAGUCGAACGGUAACAGGAAGAAGCUUGCUUCUUUGCUGACGAGUGGCGGACGGGUGAGUAAUGUCUGGGAAACUGCCUGAUGGAGGGGGAUAACUACUGGAAACGGUAGCUAAUACCGCAUAAGGUCGCAAGACCAAAGAGGGGGACUUUCGGGCCUCUUGCCAUCGGAUGUGCCCAGAUGGGAUUAGCUAGUAGGUGGGGUAACGGCUCACCUAGGCGACGAUCCCUAGCUGGUCUGAGAGGAUGACCAGCCACACUGGAACUGAGACACGGUCCAGACUCCUACGGGAGGCAGCAGUGGGGAAUAUUGCACAAUGGGCGCAAGCCUGAUGCAGCCACGCCGCGUGUAUGAAGAAGGCCUUCGGGUUGUAAAGUACUUUCAGCGGGGAGGAAGGGAGUAAAGUUAAUACCUUUGCUCAUUGACGUUACCCGCAGAAGAAGCACCGGCUAACUCCGUG